AUGCACGAUCUUUACACAAGAUUACUUCUUCGCCUUUGUGAUGGACAGCUCUUCGAGCCAGUUCAGGAUCCUAAUGCGACGCCCGCCGUGACCACUCUUGGCCUUUCCAUCCGCUCCGCUUUUCCUCGCCGCCGGAGGCAGCUUGACGGACUCGACGACGUCCGGCGAGCACUUGCAUCCGAAGCCGUCACCGAACAGCCCCGCGCCAUGUUUCCUGAAGCUCCUCUCAAUGGCGCUGGCGGCCUGCUCGAACCUCGCGCUCCUGCCGCUGCCGCCCCUCGACGCGGCCGUGAUCUUGGCCCCGUCGGCGCAGCGCGGCGGGUAAACGUCCGGGGCGCCGACGACGCCGAGGCGUAUGACACCCCACCUGGCGGGCGGCGGUGCCGACCCCGUGCUCCGGCGCGGCCGCGAGCGGAGCUGCGGCGACGGGCUCGGGUGCGCGUAGAACAGGCUGCUCGACAGGGACCUCCGCGGCGGCGCGGCGGCGUGGUCGGAGGAGGCGCUCUUGGACGAGUGGCUGCGGCUGACGCAGCCGCUGCUGCUGCCGCUGGAGCUGGCGCUCCGGCAGUCGGAGCGCGAGCCGAAGCCCGCGGUGGAGGCGACGGACUCGGACCGCGGGAGCAGGGCGACGCUGGGGGCGUCGGUGGACGAGGGGCGGAGCGGGAGGAGCUUGCCGUGGGAGAAGAGCUCGUCGGCCACGCACAUGUCGUCGGCCGCGCCCACGCCGGCCGAGACAAGGCCGCCGGUGGACAGGACGCGGAACUCGAAGUCGUCGGCCGCCUCGGGGGUGGGGCUGUCGGCGGCCUCGCGGGGCUCGUGAGGGGCGUCUGCCAUGGUCGGGGUUCUUUGCUUGGUCCAAGGGGAAGAGGUGGGGAAGAAGAAGAGAUGGUCGCGGGGUUUUGUUGCGUUCUGGUCUUCUUCUUUUGGCCUGUUCGGUUUUCACUCCGAAGAACGGCAAGAGGAGUAGAGGACGGGAAUAGAAACAGAGGAUUUUUUUUUUCGGGUCAGAGGAGGGGCUGUGGCUACGGUGCUGGGGCCCUGGGAUGUCAGUCUAUAUGCGCAGUGCUUAGCGCAUUGGUCGUCGAUGCACAAAACUUGCUGGUCAACGGUGCCAGCCGGCGGAAGGCUUCGGUUACCCCUAAUUUUGGAGAAAAUUUAUGA
Molecule: ribosomal RNA, 1161 nt
Filed under: Triticum aestivum (bread wheat)
Lineage: Eukaryota; Viridiplantae; Streptophyta; Magnoliopsida; Poales; Poaceae
Description: partial small subunit ribosomal RNA
Source: RNAcentral